UACGGAGGAUCCGAGCGUUAUCCGGAUUUAUUGGGUUUAAAGGGUGCGCAGGCGGGGGAUUAAGUCGGCGGUGAAAUUUUGCAGCUCAACUGUAAAAGUGCCUUCGAAACUGGUUUCCUUGAGUGUAGACGAAGUAGGCGGAAUUUGUGUGUAGCGGUGAAAUGCAUAGAUAUCACGAGGAACUCCGAUUGCGCAGGCAGCUUACUAAACUACUACUGACGCUCAGGCACGAAGGCGUGGGGAUCAAACAGGAUUAGAUACCCUGGUAGUCCCU
Molecule: ribosomal RNA, 274 nt
Filed under: uncultured prokaryote
Description: partial 16S ribosomal RNA
Rfam family: Bacterial small subunit ribosomal RNA
Source: RNAcentral